GACCGACGCCAACAUGCCGGACUUUCAGGCGGGAGCCGAGCGUGCCCAUACUCUGAUGCCACCAGCCCUAGCCGGUGCCAAUAUUAUUUAUGAAUCC
Molecule: non-coding RNA, 97 nt
Filed under: uncultured Luminiphilus sp.
Lineage: Bacteria; Pseudomonadati; Pseudomonadota; Gammaproteobacteria; Cellvibrionales; Halieaceae
Description: Pyrrolysine insertion sequence mttB
Rfam family: Pyrrolysine insertion sequence mttB
Source: RNAcentral